GCGACGAUGCGUAGCCGAACUGAGAGGUUGAUCGGCCACACUGGGACUGAGACACGGCCCAGACUCCUACGGGAGACAGCAGUUAGGAAUAUUCGUCAAUGGGGGAAACCCUGAACGAGCAAUGCCGCGUGAAUGAAGAAGGCCCUAUGGGUUGUAAAAUUCUGUUGUAUGGAAAGAAAUGUAAAGUUAGGAAAUGAACUUUACUUGACGGUACCAUUCAAGAAAGCCACGGCUAACUACGUGCCAGCAGCCGCGGUAAUACGUAGGUGGCGAGCGUUAUCCGGAUUUAUUGGGCGUAAAGGGUGCGUAGGCGGUAUGUUAAGUAUAAAAUAAAAGCCCGAAGCUUAACUUCGGUUCGUUUUAUAAACUGGCAAACUAGAGUACAGUAGAGGCAAAUGGAAUUCCUAGUGUAGUGGUAAAAUGCGUAGAUAUUAGGAGGAACACCAGUGGCGAAGGCGAUUUGCUGGGCUGUAACUGACGCUGAGGCACGAAAGCGUGGGGAGCAAAUAGGAUUAGAUACCCUAGUAGUCCACGCCGUAAGCGAUGAGUACUAAGUGUCGGGAAACCGGUGCUGAAGUUAACACAUUAAGUACUCCGCCUGAGUAGUACGGUCGCAAG
RNAcentral lists this ribosomal RNA (618 nucleotides) under uncultured Bacteroidota bacterium. RNAcentral describes it as "bacterial SSU rRNA". It matches the Rfam family "Bacterial small subunit ribosomal RNA", at positions 273 to 892 of the family's 1533-position model. The record is from RNAcentral. Lineage: Bacteria; Pseudomonadati; Bacteroidota.